RNAcentral lists this ribosomal RNA (301 nucleotides) under uncultured bacterium. Its description in RNAcentral is "partial 16S ribosomal RNA". It matches the Rfam family "Bacterial small subunit ribosomal RNA", at positions 509 to 807 of the family's 1533-position model. The record is from RNAcentral.
CAGUCGCCGCGGGAAUACGAAGGGGGCUAGCGUUGUCCGGAUUUACUGGGCGUAAAGCGCACGUAGGCGGACUUUUAAGUCAGGGGUGAAAUCCCGGGGCUCAACCCCGGAACUGCCUUUGAUACUGGAAGUCUUGAGUAUGGUAGAGGUGAGUGGAAUUCCGAGUGUAGAGGUGAAAUUCGUAGAUAUUCAGAGGAACACCAGUGGCGAAGGCGGCUCACUGGACCAUUACUGACGCUGAGGUGCGAAAGCGUGGGGAGCAAACAGGAUUAGAUACCCGUGUAGUCCCUGUCUCUUAUAC